This 121-nucleotide non-coding RNA is filed under the name Chloropicon mariensis. The record is from RNAcentral. Lineage: Eukaryota; Viridiplantae; Chlorophyta; Chloropicophyceae; Chloropicales; Chloropicaceae.
GAAAUGAAGCUGGAAAAGAAAGAAAGAAAGAAAGAAAGGGAGAGAAAAGAGACCACUUUACUGUUUCCACCAUUCUUCUUCUUCUCUUUAAUUAUUGUUUAAUAUAUAUGUACACUAAGUU